RNAcentral lists this ribosomal RNA (445 nucleotides) under uncultured bacterium. RNAcentral's name for it is "partial 16S ribosomal RNA". It matches the Rfam family "Bacterial small subunit ribosomal RNA", at positions 354 to 796 of the family's 1533-position model. The record is from RNAcentral.
GUGAGGAAUAUUGGUCAAUGGUCGAGAGACUGAACCAGCCAAGUCGCGUGAAGGAAGAAGGAUCUAUGGUUUGUAAACUUCUUUUGCAGGGGAAUAAAGUACGGUACGUGUACCGUUUUGUAUGUACUCUGCGAAUAAGGAUCGGCUAACUCCGUGCCAGCAGCCGCGGUAAUACGGAGGAUCCAAGCGUUAUCCGGAUUUAUUGGGUUUAAAGGGUGCGCAGGCGGGUUGAUAAGUCAGCGGUGAAAGUUUGCAGCUUAACUGUAAAAUUGCCGUUGAAACUGUCGAUCUUGAGUGCAAAUGAGGUAAGCGGAAUGUGUUGUGUAGCGGUGAAAUGCUUAGAUAUAACACAGAACACCGAUUGCGAAGGCAGCUUACUGGGAUGCAACUGACGCUCAUGCACGAAAGCGUGGGGAUCAAACAGGAUUAGAAACCCUGGUAGUCC